AACGAACGUUGGCGGCGUGGAUUAGGCAUGCAAGUCGAGCGAGAACGUCACCUUCGGGUGGCUAGUAAAGCGGCAAACGGGUGAGUAUCGCGUGGGAAACCUGCCCUUGAGUUGGGGAUAACACCCCUAACGGGGUGCUAAUACCGCAUAACAUUGCGGGCCGCAUGGUCUGCAAUCAAAGGUGGCCUCUACUUGUAAGCUGUCGCUUGAGGAUGGUCCCGCGUCCCAUUAGCUAGUUGGUAGGGUAACGGCCUACCAAGGCGACGAUGGGUAGCCGGCCUGAGAGGGUGGUCGGCCACACUGGAACUGAGACACGGUCCAGACUCCUACGGGAGGCAG
This 339-nucleotide ribosomal RNA is filed under the name uncultured Latescibacterota bacterium. RNAcentral's name for it is "bacterial SSU rRNA". It matches the Rfam family "Bacterial small subunit ribosomal RNA", at positions 29 to 351 of the family's 1533-position model. Lineage: Bacteria; Pseudomonadati; Candidatus Latescibacterota. The record is from RNAcentral.